GCCCGGCUAGCUCAAUCGGUAGAGCGUGAGACUCUUAAUCUCAAGGUCGGGGGUUCGAGCCCCCCGUUGGGCU
RNAcentral lists this transfer RNA (73 nucleotides) under Delitschia confertaspora ATCC 74209. It matches the Rfam family "tRNA". Rfam says of the family: Transfer RNA (tRNA) molecules are approximately 80 nucleotides in length. Their secondary structure includes four short double-helical elements and three loops (D, anti-codon, and T loops). Further hydrogen bonds mediate the characteristic L-shaped molecular structure. tRNAs have two regions of fundamental functional importance: the anti-codon, which is responsible for specific mRNA codon recognition, and the 3' end, to which the tRNAs corresponding amino acid is attached (by aminoacyl-tRNA synthetases). tRNAs cope with the degeneracy of the genetic code in two manners: having more than one tRNA (with a specific anti-codon) for a particular amino acid; and 'wobble' base-pairing, i.e. permitting non-standard base-pairing at the 3rd anti-codon position. Lineage: Eukaryota; Fungi; Ascomycota; Dothideomycetes; Pleosporales; Delitschiaceae. The record is from Rfam by way of RNAcentral.